CCUACGGGGGGCUGCAGUAGGGAAUAUUGGUUAAUGUGCGAAAGCGCGAACCAGCAACGCCGCGUGUACGAUGAAGGCCUUCGGGUUGUAAAGUACUUUUCACCGGGAAGAGGAAGGACGGUACCGGUGGAAUAAGUCUCGGCUAACUACGUGCCAGCAGCCGCGGUAACACGUAGGAGACGAGCGUUAUCCGGAUUUACUGGGUGUAAAGCGCGUGCAGGCGGUUUGUUAAGUUGGAUGUGAAAGCUCCCGGCUAAACUGGGAGAGGUCGUUCAAAACUGGCAGACUAGAGUGUGGUAGAGGGGAGUGGAAUUCCGAGUGUAGCGGUAAAAUGCAUAGAUAUUCGGAAGAACACCAGUGGCGAAGGCGACUUCCUGGACCACAACUGACGCUCAGACGCGAAAGCCAGGGUAGCAAACGGGCUUAGAUACCCUGGUAGUC
This 441-nucleotide ribosomal RNA is filed under the name uncultured Anaerolineaceae bacterium. Its description in RNAcentral is "bacterial SSU rRNA". It matches the Rfam family "Bacterial small subunit ribosomal RNA", at positions 338 to 795 of the family's 1533-position model. The record is from RNAcentral. Lineage: Bacteria; Bacillati; Chloroflexota; Anaerolineae; Anaerolineales; Anaerolineaceae.